RNAcentral lists this unclassified non-coding RNA (358 nucleotides) under Hevea brasiliensis (rubber tree). Lineage: Eukaryota; Viridiplantae; Streptophyta; Magnoliopsida; Malpighiales; Euphorbiaceae. The record is from RNAcentral.
GACUGUUCCAGCAGCUGCAUAUUCCUGAAAAGACAAACAAGCUCAGAGUGUCAAAGAAGUGUAUAAUCAUGCACACAUAUGAAGUGGUAACCAAACAAGUUCAAAAUAUAAGAAUAAUUUAAUCACUGUCAACAUUACAAGCUUUAUCAAAAAAGAGGGAAAGGGAGUUUCACUGUCAGGAAAAGAAAAAGGGAAAAAAAGGAAAUAAAAUGAAAGAAUUUUAAAAGAAAAUAAAAAAUAUUAUCCACAAACUCAUCUAGGAAUGGCAACGGAGCGGGUUAGGGGCAGGGAUCACUCCUCCCGUCCCCGCCCCACAAGAGUUUGGGAUCGGGGCAGGGCGGAUUUCCUUGCAGGGAUU